RNAcentral lists this microRNA (22 nucleotides) under Ophiophagus hannah (king cobra). Its description in RNAcentral is "oha-miR-16a-5p". Its record names the gene oha-miR-16a-5p. The record is from miRBase by way of RNAcentral. Lineage: Eukaryota; Metazoa; Chordata; Lepidosauria; Squamata; Elapidae.
UAGCAGCAUAUAAAUAUUGGAG